This 799-nucleotide ribosomal RNA is filed under the name Bacillus velezensis. RNAcentral's name for it is "bacterial SSU rRNA". It matches the Rfam family "Bacterial small subunit ribosomal RNA", at positions 34 to 811 of the family's 1533-position model. Lineage: Bacteria; Bacillati; Bacillota; Bacilli; Caryophanales; Bacillaceae. The record is from RNAcentral.
CGUGAUUUUCUGCGUACCUCGUACUGCAAGUCGAGGGCUAGAUGGGAGCUUGCUCCCUGAGUUGGCGGCGGACGGGUGAGUAACACGUGGGUAACCUGCCUGUCAGACUGGGAUAACUCCGGGAAACCGGGGCUAAUACCGGAUGGUUGUCUGAACCGCAUGGUUCAGACAUAAAAGGUGGCUUCGGCUACCACUUACAGAUGGACCCGCGGCGCAUUAGCUAGUUGGUGAGGUAACGGCUCACCAAGGCGACUAUGCGUACCCGACCUGAGAGGGUGAUCGGCCACACUGGGACUGAGACACGGCCCAUACUCCUACGGGAGGCAGCAAUUGGGAAUCUUCCGCAAUGGACCAAAGUCUGACGGACCAACGCCGCGUGAGUGAUGAAGGUUUUCGGAUCGUAAAGCUCUGUUGUUAGGGAAGAACAAGUGCCGUUCAAAUAGGGCGGCACCUUGACGGUACCUAACCAGAAAGCCACGGCUAACUACGUGCCAGCAGCCGCGGUAAUGCGUAGGUGGCAAGCGUUGUCCGGAAUUAUUGGGCGUAAAGGGCUCGCAGGCGGUUUCUUAAGUCUGAUGUGAAAGCCCCCGGCUCAACCGGGGAGGGUCAUUGGAAACUGGGGAACUUGAGUGCAGAAGAGGAGAGUGGAAUUCCACGUGUAGCGGUGAAAUGCGUAGAGAUGUGGCAGGAACACGAGUGCCGAACGCUACUCUCUGAUCUGUAACUGACGCUGAGGAGCGAAAGCGUAGAGAAGCGAACAGGAUUAGAUACCGCUGGUAGUCCAACGCCGUAAACGAUG